CAGUUUUCCUCUGCACCAUGUUCAGCCAGAAGUAGUUGUUUUCCAUUUGUGUACAGUGUAUCAAAAUGCAUUCUACUGUCAUGUAUAACUAAUUAGAACAAAAUAAAUAUAAAUCCUUCCAACUCUAAAAUUUUAAACAUCUAUAAUCAGAUAAUAUUACAUGCAGAAAAUUAUAUAUUUCUAGCAUUCUAUUUCAUUUAUAAGGAGAUAAAAAUAUUUGUAUUUGCAAAAGAAAUGCCAGAGUACACACAAGAAACUAAAUGGUUGCCUAAGCCAGGUGUGGUGGUUUGUGCCUAUAAUCCCAGCAGCUACUUAGGAGCAGAAGGCAGGAGGAUCUCAAGUUCAAGACUAACCUGGGUAAUUUAGCAAAGACUGUCUCAAAAAAGGGUUUGGAUGUAGCUCAUCUAUAGAGCACUUGCCUAGCAUGUGUGAAACCCCGGGUUCAAUCACAGUACUAAGGAAGGAAAAAAAAAAAAAAAGUUUGCCAAUAACAGAUGUUGGGGAAAAGUUUGGAUGGAAACUGGAUGAGAGUACAACUUUUGCAUAUUAGUGUUUUAAUUUUUUUAACCAGGUAUUGAAUCCAGAGGCACUUAACCACUGAGUCACAUCCCCAGCCCUUUUUUAUAAAUUUUAUUCAGAGACAGGAUCUCACUAAGUUGCUAAGGCUGCCGUUAAACUCACAAUCCUCCUGCCUCAGCCUCCUGAGCCUCUGGGAUUGCAGGUGUGUACCACUGCACCCAGCAUAAUUUUAUUUUUAAAUCUUGUGAAUGUAGUAACUUCUGGGGGAAAAAGUUUUAAUUAUAUAUUCUUUUACUUCAUAGUAAAUUUGUCCCGGGUGCCACGGGAAGCAAUGCCUUUAUGCUGGUACAGAACUUAGAAAUGAUCAUCUAUAAUUUAAGCAUUUAUACACCUUACAUUGCUCAAAUGUUUUAUUUUAUUCUAACUUUUUACUUUAUUCAAGUGCAAAGUCAUUCACUUUAAAUUAGCCUGAUUAGCCUGAGCUAUGUCACAAAGAACAGGUUGUUGUUUAAAUGAGAUGCCAAUUCUUUCUGGAUUCUGAAUUAUUCAGAUAUUGGAGUAGUGUUAAGCAGAAUGAUAUGGUAUUGAUAAAAUUAUCUUUGAAUUAUAGUUUUUAAAAUGUGUCUUGCCCCCAGUAGCAAUGAGCAUACCUAGCCCCAGAUCAUGGUUUCUAAUAUCACUCUCUUAAUAAAAGAAACUAGGGUUCCUCCAGUCUUCUAAGACUGGAGCUGAAAACUUGCAAAAUGAAGAACAUCUUGAAUUGUUGGAAAGUAAAGAAAUGCUUUAAAAAAAAAAAAAACACCUUAUGAUAAUGAAGUCAAAGGAAACAGGGGCUGAGAGUGCUCCCAAACCCCAAAAUAAUUUGAGGAAAAAAAAAAAGAUUAUCAGCCAAAGGAUAAUAAGAUCCAUGAGUUCAUAAUAUUAAUGUGAUCAAAUUGAGGAGAAGAGACAAGUCUCUCAUGGAGAAGAAUUAUAAUAAUUCAAUACUUCUGAAGGAUAGAUGCUCCACUCUCUAGGAAAGAAAGCAUUAACUCCCCAUCCCUUAAAAGUGAGCUGCAGGGCUUAGUGGUGCACACCUGUAAUCCCAGCAGCCAGAAGGCUGAGGCGGGAGGAUUGCAAGUUCAAAGUCAACCUCAGCAAAAGUGAGGCACUAGGCACCUCAGUGAGACCUUGUAUCUAAAUAAAAUACAAAAAGGGCUGGGGAUGUGGCUCAGUGGUUAAAUGCCCCUGAGUGUAAUUCCCGGUACCAAAAAAGGAAAAAGAAAAAGUGGGCUGCACAGAGGGACUUCCCUUCUAAAGAGUUCAAAACAGGGGAAAAAGUAACUUCAUAACAGAGAAGCCUAAAAAACACCAUCAGCCAGCUGAUUACGGUAAGGUCAGCAUCAAUACUGAUGAAUUAUGUUGACAAUAGAUACCCCAGAAACAAUAUGAAAAUAUCAUAUCACAUACAAAACACUUUGCCUCCUCUUCCCCCAAACCACAGUCUACCCAUGAGAAAAGCAAAAGACAAAUUCCAAUAGCGGGUCACACUAUAAAAUAACCUGGCUAGUACUCAAAAUGGUCAAAGUCAUCAAAAAUAAGAAAAGACUCUCAAACUGACACAAUCCAGAGAAGU
This 2134-nucleotide long non-coding RNA is filed under the name Marmota monax (woodchuck). Lineage: Eukaryota; Metazoa; Chordata; Mammalia; Rodentia; Sciuridae. The record is from RNAcentral.